AUUGAACGCUGGCGGCAGGCCUAACACAUGCAAGUCGAGCGAGCGGCGGACGGGUGAGUACUGCCUGGCAAUUGCCCAGUCUAGGGGGAUAACAGUUGGAAACGACUGCUAAUACCGCAUACGAUUGGAUUGCCCAGGUGUGAUUAGCUAGUUGGUGAGGUAAUGGCACACCAAGGCGGCUAUCCCGAGCUGGUCUGAGAGGAUGAUCAGCCACACUGGAACGGAGACACGGUCCAGACUCAUACGGGAGGAAGCAGUGGGGAAUAUUGCACAAUGGGGGAAACCCUGAUGCAGCCAUGCCGCGGGUGUGAAGAAGGCCUUCGGGUUGUAAAGCACUUUCAGUGAGGAGGCGUUACUAGCAGAAGAAGCACCGGCUAACUCCGUGCCAGCAGCCGCGGUAAUUC
RNAcentral lists this ribosomal RNA (404 nucleotides) under uncultured bacterium. Its description in RNAcentral is "partial 16S ribosomal RNA". It matches the Rfam family "Bacterial small subunit ribosomal RNA", at positions 30 to 526 of the family's 1533-position model. The record is from RNAcentral.